UAGUUCGUAAUAAAUUCACAUAAAAACACACCAGAAGAUCUCCGAUUUUAUUUACAAAGAUCAUAUUUUGUUAUUUAUUGAUAAAACAAGCCAUUUUACCACAGCAGAUGACACAUAUUAGGCCUGAAUAAGACUUUAGAAUUUGAAGUGGUGGUGACGAUGCCGAUAUCCAAGAUGGCGGAAUUAUACCAGUGGUCAAACCUCAUCUAUUUUGGGUAAUUGCAUCAUUAUUUCUUUUUGUGAUUGGUGAUUUGUAAAAUUGAGAAUGAUUGAAAAAUCAGUAUUUUUUCACCCAAAGGCAUGAGUGAACAUUUGAUAAGUUUAUUGUGAUUUAAUUGGUAAUUUGGUCGACAUUUUGACAAUUAUAUUUAGCAAUAUUUCGAUAAAUGCGGACCUGCUUCUUCCUCUUUUCGCAGUGACGGUGUUUCGAUAACUCAGUUAGACUUCGGGAUCUACAUUUUCGACAAAGGCCUGGUGUAAUAUUAUUACGUACUUGAUGAAGGUAAUAUUAAUUUCUUCAAAUUUGAAGCAUGACGUUAAUGGAGUACCAGCACAACUUCAUUGACUGCUACGUGGCGCUGGUGGAAACUAAGGUAUUGCAUCGCUCAUAUCACUUGAAAAAAACAUUUACCCUAGUUACGACCAAAGCUGCUUAGCAGAGGGCGAUACCUCAUCAGGAGCGCCACAAUCAUAUCAUUGGUGUGAAAGCAUUUGUAUGAAGUUUUUCAGUUCUCAAUGUGUUCGAAACCUUAAUUGUGAAUUUGUGCACUUCGAAUUCAAAUUUACGUCACUACGUUAGUUUGACAUCCAUUGAUGUCACGGUAAUUUCACUGUUAUGCUGUGCUGCUUUCAGGUUUAAUGACACGAAUGAGUACAAGUACAUUACAUUUUUCGACGAAGGCCUUCUGUAAUUUCAUACGCUUCUUACGCAACAUUCAAUAGAUUUAUUUACUGUAUUAUCAUUUCGACCAAGGCGAAUUCGACACUUCAAUUACACAAGGUUAGUAACUUUUGUUCACAAAAUCCAAAUGGAGGCAAAUACAGAACAAUCAAACUUAGUCAUUCCAGUCAGUUACUGAAGCACAGUGAAAACUGUCGGGAGCAGUGCAACUGAUGGCAUGUCAAACUUCCAGUGACUGUCCCUGUCCAUAUAUUUCAAGACAGUACAAAUCUUGUAAUCAUUUUGUUUAUGCAAUGUACGUUAUUAUGUAUCAUUUCAGCACAAUCAAACUUAGUCAUUCCAGUCAGUUACUGAAGCACAGCGAAAACUGUCUGAAUUAGUGCUGCUGAUGGCAUGUAAUUACUCUACUACCACUACCAGUGACAGUCAAUGUCCAAAUAUUUUCAAGUGUGCGAAAUUAGUACUCGUCUACUUCUUAGUGUUAUUUGAAUGCAAUGUAUGUUAUAAAAAUAUUUUUUCAACACUAUAUCAACAUUCUCAUUCCUGUCAGUUUCUGAAAAUCAGCUAAAGCAAUCGCUACCAAUGCAGCUGAUAACAGCAAUUCUUUUUGUUCCCAAUGCCCAUCCAUGACAAUAUAUUUCACGCAUGUGACAAUCAUGUAAUCGUCCUGUUUUUUGUGUUCUAUUCAUGCAAUAAAUAAAUUCAGUAUUUUCAAAUCAUUGGUGCUACAAAACUAUUCUCAUUAUAGAUUAUUCAUAUUUUAUAAAAUGCUGUCAUGUCAAAUUUUGUGUCCUAUAAAUCAUAAUGAAGUCGGCAUUUUAUAUACAACUUUUGUACUCCUCCUAAAUAAACAUACAAAUCUUGUUUUAUGUAAACUUUGUAUAUGUGACCCGUCACAGCAAAACCAGGCGCAUGUCGCUCUGAGCUUGGCAGGUUGAGACGGACUGUUCUAAUCUUUCAUUAGCGACACCAUUUCUUACCAGAGUGCCUCCUUCAUUCAUACAUCUUGUACUUUAACUUAAGAUACCCAUCUUUGAAUAUUUUUAGUAUACCAAGUACUACAAUGUCAAUGUAUUGAAGUCAUGUUCUUGUAGUGUUAUUGGCUUUCUAUUAUCUUGUCAAAAUACCACUUGGUUCUCGCAAAAUCUCAAUAAAAACAAAUGCUAUUGCAUGUAUUGCAUAUUCUAACAGCUAUCCACUGUAUCGAUUUAUCCAUCAUCUGUACUAUUUGUCACAAAAAUGUUAUAUUAUGUAAAUCAUAUUUCAUUACAUAAUGCACACUGCCAAUUACUGCUGAACCAUUCAUA
Molecule: long non-coding RNA, 2208 nt
Organism: Lineus longissimus
Lineage: Eukaryota; Metazoa; Nemertea; Pilidiophora; Heteronemertea; Lineidae
Exons: 3
Source: RefSeq, a predicted model, not a curated record